Non-coding RNA from Macaca mulatta (Rhesus monkey), 2576 nucleotides. Lineage: Eukaryota; Metazoa; Chordata; Mammalia; Primates; Cercopithecidae. The record is from RefSeq and is a predicted model, not a curated record.
GCAGUGGCAGCCUCGAGUGGCUCUUGGCAUACUUCAGUCUGUGGAGUGCAAGGUUGACUGGAUCUCCGUGGCCAUUGAUACUAUUCAGGGAACGAAAUGUGGAAGUUGCUCAUAAUUCUGAACCAGUGUUUUCUAACCAAUGUGUGAUUACAAAAUCGUGUGCUGGUAAAAGCCAUUCAAGUGCAGGACGGACCAGUCGACUCAGAAGGAAUUGGGGCAGAAAGGCCCGUCGACCAGAGCGCAGUCUCUGCGUUGCAGACAGCCUGUACGGAAGUGCCACUUGUUACAUUUGGCAGCAGAGAAUACCUAAAAUGAUCUGAAAACACAAUGAAAAUACUGCUUCCUACUUGUAUAUCAGCGUGGGGUCGGACUUCUUUCAUAAACUUCAGCCACGGCUCUGCAGCCCACUGAACGCAGAUGCAGGCGUGAGAACCCUGCUGUCUGAGGUGCAGAGAUGUUAGGUGUUUUCACAGCAGCACAAACUCUUGCCACGCUGCUACUUAUUUUGGAAAAUGGUUUCUUCUUGAAGACUGUGUUAAGAUGUAAUGACUUUAUCGUUGUAAAAUAAACUAAAUUGUUAUCUUUUUUCUUUUUUUUUUUUUUUGAGACGGAUUCUUACUCUGCCACCCAGGCUGGAGUGUAGUGGUGUGACCUUAGCUCACUUCAACCUCUGUCUCCUGAGUUCAAGUGAUUCUUGUGCCUCAGCCUCCCUAGUAGCUGGUACUACAGGUGUUCGCCACCAUGCCAGGCUAAUUUUUGUAUUUUAGUAGAGAUGGGGUUUCGCCAUGUUGGCCAGCCCAGUCUUGAACUCCUGACCUCAAGUGAUCCACCUGCCUCUGCCUCCCAAAGUGCUGGGAUUACAGGCAUGAGCAGCCACCACUCCUGGCCUGAUGAGAAAGCUUUUUUGUGAUCUUGAAUAAAGUGCAAAGGGUUCCUGAGACCCAAAAAUUUGAAAACUACUGGCUUAAACUGAGAAAAUUGUCCACGAUUUUUCAGUGUAUCUUCUAAUCUGUUGAUGGAGAAAGGACGGUAAGGGUUGCUUUACUUUUUUCCUUUCAGAACUCAAUGGUGCUGGGACAACUAGGGUAUCCACAUGGAAAAGGAUGGACUGGACCCUUCCUCACCCUACACGCAAAGCUCAAAAUGGAUCUAGCGUAAGGAGUCGACUGUGAGACCCAUUCUGUCAGUCUGCUGGGUACCAUAACGGACACCACAGACCGUGCGGCUUAAACAACAGCAUCUUAUUUGCUUUUUUGUGGAGACUGGAAGCCUGGGAUCAAGGUGCGGCCAGUGUUGGAUUCUCUGGGGCCUCACCCCGUGCUGUGUAGACGGCGUCCUCUCUGUGUCCUCACAGGUUUCUCUUAUGUGCAUGCAGCACUGAGGACUGUGUCUAAAUUCUCGCAAAAGAAUACCAGUCAUACUGGAUCAGGGCCUACUCUUAAGAUCUUACGUGACCUAAAUUUCCAAGUUAAAGGCCCUGUACACUUAGGUACAGUGACAUUUUGAGUUUCCGGGGUUGUGACUUUAACAUGGGAAUCUUGAGAGGGGGGACAGUUCAGCCCAUGACACCUUUAGGGAAGAAUCCUGGUGAAACUGCUACUUUGGAUUAGGCAAUGUUUCCUUGGCUGAGACGUCUAAAGCUGUACCAAGCAACUGAAGGGAAAAAGACGGGAUCAAAAUUAAAAAUGUUCAUUUCAGAGGAUACUCUUAAAGUAAAAAGACAACCCACAGAACAGGAUACAUUAUCAUGAUAAGGACCUGAUAUCAUGAAUAUAUUUAAAAGCUCUUAGUAAAAAUCCAAGUUAAAAAUGGACAAGGGAUUUGAAUAGACAUUCUCCAAAGAAAGACAUAUAAAUGCCUUAAAAAGCACAUGAGAUGUUUAGCAGAAUUCAUCAUCUUAGAAAUGGAAAUCAAAACUACCGUGAGAUACCACUUCACAACCACCGGGAUGGGUAAAACCCCAGUAUUGGACAGUGACAUGGUGGUGAAUUUGGGAAAACUGAAAUCUUGAUAUAUUGCUAGUGGGAGGGGAAGUAAAAUAGUACAGUUGAUUUGGAAAAGUCUGGCAGUUUCUCAGAAAAGUUAAGCAUGAAAUCACCGUACAACCCAGCAAUUUCACUCCUAGGCAUACGCCCAAGAAAAUGGAAAAUAUUUUUGCCAAAAAAAUCUUAUGCAAGAGUCUUCAUAGCAGCAUUAUUUGUAGUAGUAGAAAGAGUCCAGGUAUCUGUCAACAGGUCACUCACUGUGAGAUUCCACUCUCCUUGGACGUGAAAGAUGUCAGCACCGAAGGUCACGCACUGUACGAUUCUCCUCACAACAGGUGUCCAGAAUGGGCAAAUCCAGAGAAACGGAAGUCGGCUGGCGAUUGCCAGGGGCUGGUGGAAGGAAGGAGCAGGUGCUGACUCUUAAUGGGUUCAAGGUUUCUUCGGCCCGUGGUGAAAAAGUCCCGGAAUUACAUACUAGUGGUUGAUGUACAGCUUUGAGAAUAUGCUAAAAAGACUGAAUUGUAUCCUUUAAUAUUGGGGCUUUUAUGGUUUGUAAAUUCCUUUCAAUUUCAAAAGGAACUCAAGAACUUC